Molecule: long non-coding RNA, 1682 nt
Filed under: Malus domestica (apple)
Lineage: Eukaryota; Viridiplantae; Streptophyta; Magnoliopsida; Rosales; Rosaceae
Description: long non-coding RNA (MDOM_LNC019616)
Source: RNAcentral
ACUGGGCAGUUUUGAGCUCUAAACACAAUUUGGACGAAAUUUGGGUUUCUAAAGGCUCAAAACACUUGAAAACACAAUCUAAGACAAGUUCUAACUAAUAUGACUUAAAAAAGUAAAUGGGGUUUGGUUUCGGACGAAAAUGAGUAAAUUAAAACAAGAACAAUUUAAACAGAUUCUUAAGCAAAUUUAGGUGAAUUGAUGAGAUAUGGGGUAACUAGAGGGUUCUUCUCCACACAUGACACACUUGUAUUCAAAUUGAUUUCCAAUUGCUUCUCUCAAUAAGUCAUGAAACUCAAUACUCUAGGUUAACUGUGACAGCACUUUUUUAACCUUCAAGUUUUCCUUAAGUUAAUGAAUUGGAUGGGAAAGCACAUACAACAAUUCAAAGCAUUCUCUAAAAGUCCUCUACGUGAAAAGUACAAUAAAGGUACAAUCAAAGAUCAUUAAGUUUCAUGAAAACUAUAAGCAUUGACAAGACAAUUGUUACUCUGAAAAGCAUGAAACUUUUGCCAAGAAUUCACUUAACACGAUCAUUUAUAAGCGACCUCCACUACUUGCAAAUAUAAGUUUGUAACUAUUAGGUGAAACUCCCUUAUAUUUUAGCUUCAAAUCCUUGCAUGAAAACUAAGUGUGCACUCUUAAUAAACAUACAAGAAUAAGUUAUCAAUCAAACAGUUAAGCAAAUUGAAUUCACAACUUAUGAAAUAACAACUGAAGGUAAUCAAUUCAUAAUGCAAGUAUAAUCAUGGUAUUGAAUAGCCCCCUAGCCAAGAAGGGCUUAGUUCCUCAUAUCCACAAAACAAAGAUACAUAAAUUUAGACAUUAAAAACAAAGAAUGAAAACACCUAGAAACGCUCCAACAAUCCAACGUCUUGAAUGGCUGAUGUGAAAAUUAUGUUGACACUCAAAUUAACCCUCUUUUUAUCAAUUGUAGCAAAGUAUGUAAGUAGGGAUCGUUCUAAACCGGGGAUUAGGAGGGAUUGCAAAAUCACUUGAAAACAGACUCAAAUACGUAAAAACAAGUUUAAAACACUAAACUAAACUCAAAGAAUGCAAAACUAAACUUUAAAACACCAAAACAAACCAAAAGACUCAAAACAGCCCAAAAACACUCAAAACUGCCUUAAAACCACAAUCUGGGCAGUUUUGAACACUAGACUCAAUCUUGGACGAAAAUUGGUUUUAUCUUGACCUAAGACACUUAAAAACAUAAACUAAAGUGAUUUCUAACUACUAUGACUCAACUAAGUAAAUGGGGAUUGAUUUUGGACGAAUUUAACUUUGAAAACAGAAACUUUGAAAACAAACUUUAAUGAAAACGAUUUUGAUGAAAUAGAAUGGGGAAAGGCUAGCUAGAGGGUUCCUUCUCCACACAUGAAACAUAUGCAUACGACUCGAUCUCCAAUUACUCUUUCAACAAACCAUGAAUGACAAUGCCCCAAAUUAACUAGAUUGACCAAUUAAUUCUCAGAUUUCCCUAGAUUCAUUGAAUUGAAUGGGAUACGCAUUACAACCAAAAUUAUUCUUAUCAAGGACCCUAACUAUGGAAUACGCAUGAUAGAGACACAUAUCAAAGAUCAUUAAGUUCAAUGGAAAUCAUAAGCAUUGACAAGGCAUUCAUAACUAUGGGAUACGCAUGUUACUCUUGCCUAGGAUUUACUUAACACAAUCGUGACUAGCGA